This is a long non-coding RNA of Notothenia coriiceps (black rockcod), 3086 nucleotides long. RefSeq lists it as uncharacterized. NCBI's taxonomy places the organism in Eukaryota, Metazoa, Chordata, Actinopteri, Perciformes, Nototheniidae. The record is from RefSeq and is a predicted model, not a curated record. The transcript is spliced from 2 exons.
UUGCAUGAUAGGCCCCCUUUAAUGUGUUUUCUACCUUCCACAGGAUUACUGAUGGGAAUGAGUAUCUCUUCCAAGCCAAAGACGAGGAGGAGAUGAGCACGUGGAUAUCUGCCAUCGCGUCGGCCAUGACGGUUGAGAGUUCGGAGGUCACGCCCAGCAGCACCAGCACGCCCGCACCCCCCGCACGCGCUCAGACGCUGCCCGCCUCCGUCGCCACGGUGACCGCCGCCACCACCGCAGAGUCCAGCCCGGGGAAACGAGAGAAAGACAAGGAGAAGCGCUUCAGUCUGUUCAGCAAGAAGAAAUAGAUGCUCCUACUUCCUAAGUCCUACUUCCUACUUCCUUCUCUUUCCUCCUCUUCCUUCCUCUGGUGCUGUUUGGGGUUCCUUCUCAUUAUCCUUCAAUCAAAUAUUCGUGGAAGAUAUUAGAGAUUAGGUCGUGGCAACUGAUUAAAACUAUUAUAAUAAUUGCAAGGGUGUAAUGUCUGUUAAUGUAAUAUCAAAUAAUAAGGAAAAACAUGCUUACUCGUUCAUCCGAACACUUACUAGAUAUAUGAUAUAUAUAAGAUAUAUAUACAGUUUGGGUUCGCUCUUCAUUUUCGAUAUGUCAAAUAUUUGUUGAAGAUUUCCCUGUAAAUCUGUACAAAUUUGGAUUUUGGCAACUAGAUAUAUAACUAACCAAAAAUGUAAUUAAAUUGAAAUAUAAUGUAAGGUAUGUGAAUGUAAUAACAUCAAAUGAUGACGAAGAAAACAUGCUUUAUUAAAAUGUAACUCAUGGAUGUAAACACUUCCUACAGCAGUUACAGUAACAGCAGUUGCUACGUCAACUAAAAUCCCAAACAGCCUCUCCUCCUCUUCCUCCUCCUCCUCUUCCUCUCUGAAAGCGUGACUCCAGCAUGCAAGCUCCGAGCCAAAACUCUCCACUCUGUGCCUAACAACCGUCGGUCCGGCUCAGAGCGACAGCUACAACACACACACACCUGUAUCCUCGGUUCACUUUUUGUAAGAUAUGGAGCAGGAUUAAAAAAAAAAAAGGAAAUGCAUAAAGAUUGGAUUGAAGGAAACCUAAUUUAAAAAUCAAAAAGGGGUCUGCAAACGCUGCUGUCAUAAAGAUACAAACCAGAGUUUGCCGCUGAACAACAACACUUGAGAGGAGUUCCCAGAAUAUUCCUGUUUUAUUAUUCUUAAUGCUAUUAUUUGUGUUUCCUAUCUCCUCUCCGCUUUCUCAUCACUCCCGGCUUUUCGUCGACUACUGCCUUGUGUGGGUUGUGUUUACGCUCCAAGCUCGUCUUUGUUUUUUUCUUUUGGGAAGUUGUAGGUAGUUCCUGUUUUAGGCUCCAUCCUCAGUUUUUGCGAGGCCUUGUCUUUGCAAGAUGACGUGUAUCCCUCUGUCGUGGGGAAAGCUGAGACCACAGCGGGGUAAACCUCUGAAAUUACACCUCUUUUUUUCAACUGAAAUGUCCAAAAUUAUGUAAAGAUAUCCAACACAUGCUGACAGUUAAACGCUAUUUGAAGUAUAAAACAAAAGGUGCACUAAAUUGAAUUUUGUGCACUGAGUAAUUGAGCUUUUCCUUUGGUUAAAUGUGUGCAAUAAACCUGUGAAAAGCGAAUUAUCAUCGUUGUGCUCUGGUGCUGUCUAUUUCCUGCAGACAGAAAAAGAAAUGGCUGUAAUUUAGAGCGUUACCCUGCGGUGCUUUGAACUGUAUGUAUAACUUGUGUAUAACAAACUGUUAAAAAAAUAAACCUGUGUUUUAAUUCCACCUAUAUUUACUACUAAUAAGACCUACCAACCGUAAUAAGCUUAGUAUAACUUUCUUUACCUAAAAGAUCUUAAUGUACACUAAACCAAUCUGAAUGAAGGAGAAUAAAUAACAAAGACCAGUAAGAUUGUUUGACUUUAAUUAAGGUUUAUUUUCUACAUUUGUGUCAUUUAUUUCCUCCAUGUUUUUGUUUCCUCCAGUACAGUAUGUGUUUUCUGUUCCACACUUACUGUAAGCUAAGGAUUAUUUAGUAAGGAGACGUAGAUGUAUUAUUAUAUAAAAACAGAGAUUACUUUAAGCAUUGCUGUUAAGUGGACAAGUUGGUUCUUUUAUAAAAAGCAUUUACUGGAAGUGAGUAAUGUUGCAGAAUAAUGGUCGCUUGCUUGUUGGCUUCAGCACUCCCUUUUUAAUAUUUUGAUUUCAGACUUUGCUGCCAAGGAAGUGAAAACUGGUGGCUUUUAUAUGGAAGUUAUUUAAUGACAAAAUUAACAGCAAAAAAUUGCACUUGAGGAUCGAAAGCAUGUAGGUUUGUUAGCAUGAAAACUAUUUUUAAGGACAGAAUUUUGACACUUCAGCCUUCCUGUCGCAUGUUAUCUUUCAAUUUGCAUGCUUUAGUUUGUUUACAUGCGUGCAAAAACACUCAAAUGAGUCAUAAUAUCAAGUUUAAAUCCUCGAAAGUGAACGCUUUGAGAGGAUGUAUGCCUCUAAUCAAUGGUUUGAUGAUUGAAUGUAAAUCUAAGUUAGCCAAAUCUACGACAGUUUAAAGUGGACGUAUUUUCCUAAGGGAAUAAUCCACUUGUUGCUAAAUCUGCUAUCAGAAAAGGUGAUUUCAAAUGAAUCUAAAUCCAACAUCUUGAUUAAAUCUUGAAUUUGUUUUGUGCUCACUUGUAAUCGUGUCUUUAAUUAACUUCCAUACAAACAGAAAAAGUAGGAGCAAAACAGCAGGAAAGAACCCCAGAGUGUGAUGAAAGGUGGGUGCGUUUGUUUUCCCCACCAUGCUGGUGGUUGGUGAAACACCCGAAAGUAAAAACGUUUCGCGCGGUGAUUUGUCUCGUUUUAUUUUUAAUUUUUGCUUCAUUCUCUGGCAGUAUGAUCAAUAUAGUGUGCAUUCCUCUGUCACUGUAAUCAUAGAUAUUUCUUCAUAUUGCACAAUCAAUAAUGCCACAGUGGGUGGGUGGGGGGAUGGGGCGUGGGCGGGUUUUUUUUAGGUGAGAUUUAGUCUGUGUAUUGUGGACCAGGGGUCACUGCUAGUUGGAUCUGCACCCAUAGACUUCUCCCCGUCUGUUACAUAUGUGCAAAAAGCCAUUAAAAUGCUUUUAAAACGAAA